GUAACUGCGAGUGAAGCGGGACCGGCUCAAUGUGUGAAUCUGGCUUGGGGUAGUUCCCUGGUUCGAGUUGUGCACUAUGGACGUUUCGUCUGCGUUUGUAAUGGCGGUGGAAGUCCGUUGAAACACGGCACCUCAGAGGGUCACAGUCCUGUACCACCUGCCUGCACUCGCGCCAAUGACAAGCGCUCCUCGAGUCGCGUAGUUUUGUAAUGCUGCGCCAAGUGGGAGGUAGAGACCUUCUAAGGCUAAAUAUGAUGACGUGACCGAUAGCACACAAGUACCGCGAGGGAAAGGUGAAAAGCAACCAUGAAAAAUGGGUUGAAACAGUAGUGAAAGCGCUACCGGGAUAAGGGCUAUUGGGUGCUGGGGCUUCUUGGGUGUGCUUCAGUGCUACCCUUGGAGACGGCCCGCGUGGGUUGAUUGGGGUGAUAAACGCGUCGUUGGAAUUCGGCUGUCUUUGGACAGUGUUGUAGCCUUCGGUCGCCGUCCUCCUGCGACCUUUUGUAAUUGCGGGUCUUGCGACCGUUAGCCGCCCGUCUUGAAACACGGACCAAGGAGUGCACCUUGCAUGCGAGUCGAAGGGAUUCGAAACCUGGAGGCGUAGCGAACGCGACGAUGGGGAAUGUCCUUGUGGCAGACACCCGCACCCGCCUUGUGCGAGGUAGAGCAUGUACGGUGCGACCCGAAAGAUGGUGAACUAUGCCCGGGUAAGGUGAAGCCAGUGGAAACGCUGGUGGAGGCCUGUAGCGAUUCUGACGUGCAAAUCGAUCGCGUAACCUGGGUAUAGGGGCGAAAGACCUAUCGAACCGUCUAA
Molecule: ribosomal RNA, 814 nt
Filed under: Tulasnella sp.
Lineage: Eukaryota; Fungi; Basidiomycota; Agaricomycetes; Cantharellales; Tulasnellaceae
Description: partial 28S ribosomal RNA
Rfam family: Eukaryotic large subunit ribosomal RNA
Source: RNAcentral